CCUACGGGAGGCAGCAGUGAGGAAUAUUGGUCAAUGGACGAGAGUCUGAACCAGCCAAGUCGCGUGAAGGAUGACUGCCCUAUGGGUUGUAAACUUCUUUUAUAUGGGAAUAAAAUGUUCCACGUGUGGGCUUUUGUAUGUACCAUAUGAAUAAGGAUCGGCUAAAUCCGUGCCAACAGCCGCGGUAAUACGGAGGAUCCGAGCGUUAUCCGGAUUUAUUGGGUUUAAAGGGAGCGUAGGUGGAUUGUUAAGUCAGUUGUGAAAGUUUGCGGUUCAACCGUAAAAUUGCAGUUGAAACUGGCAGUCUUGAGUACAGUAGAGGUGGGCGGAAUUCGUGGUGUAGCGGUGAAAUGCUUAGAUAUCACGAAGAACUCCGAUUGCGAAGGCAGCUCACUGGACUGCAACUGACACUGAGGCUCGAAAGUGUGGGUAUCAAACAGGAUUAGAUACCCGAGUAGUG
RNAcentral lists this ribosomal RNA (460 nucleotides) under uncultured bacterium. RNAcentral describes it as "partial 16S ribosomal RNA". It matches the Rfam family "Bacterial small subunit ribosomal RNA", at positions 338 to 795 of the family's 1533-position model. The record is from RNAcentral.